This 547-nucleotide ribosomal RNA is filed under the name Lactifluus betulicola. RNAcentral's name for it is "Lactifluus sp. 19 HL-2019 partial large subunit ribosomal RNA". It matches the Rfam family "Eukaryotic large subunit ribosomal RNA", at positions 85 to 631 of the family's 3401-position model. The record is from RNAcentral. Lineage: Eukaryota; Fungi; Basidiomycota; Agaricomycetes; Russulales; Russulaceae.
AACUGCGAGUGAAGCGGGAAAAGCUCAAAUUUAAAAUCUGGCGGUCUUUGGCUGUCCGAGUUGUAAUUUAGAGAAGUGCCUUCCGCGCCGGACCAUGCAAAAGUCUCCUGGAAUGGAGCGUCAUAGAGGGUGAGAAUCCCGUCUUUGGCAUGGAUGCUCGGUGCUUCUGUGAUGCGCUCUCGAAGAGUCGAGUUGUUUGGGAAUGCAGCUCAAAAUGGGUGGUGAACUCCAUCUAAAGCUAAAUAUUGGCGAGAGACCGAUAGCGAACAAGUACCGUGAGGGAAAGAUGAAAAGCACUUUGGAAAGAGAGUGAAACAGUACGUGAAAUUGUUGAAAGGGAAACGCUUGAAGUCAGUCGCGUCGACCAAGACUCAGCCUUGCCUCGGCUCGGUGUACUUCUUGGCUGACGGGCCAGCAUCAAUUUCGUCUCUCGGAUAAUGGUGAGGGAAAGGUGGCACCCUUACGGGUGUGUUAUAGUCCCUUGUCGCAUGCGAGGGGUGGGAUUGAGGAACUCAGCACGCGCCUUUAGGUGUCGGGGCUUCGGCCC